GGGCGCGUAGCUCAGCUAGGUCAGAGCACCUCGCUUACACCGAGGGGGUCGCCCGUUCGAGUCGGGCCGCGCCCAUCA
RNAcentral lists this transfer RNA (78 nucleotides) under Actinomycetes bacterium. RNAcentral describes it as "Actinobacteria bacterium tRNA-Val". Lineage: Bacteria; Bacillati; Actinomycetota; Actinomycetes. The record is from RNAcentral.